RNAcentral lists this ribosomal RNA (495 nucleotides) under uncultured bacterium. Its description in RNAcentral is "partial 16S ribosomal RNA". It matches the Rfam family "Bacterial small subunit ribosomal RNA", at positions 28 to 507 of the family's 1533-position model. The record is from RNAcentral.
GAUGAACGCUGGCGGCGUGCCUAAUACAUGCAAGUAGAACGCUGAAGGAGGAGCUUGCUCUUCUGGAUGAGUUGCGAACGGGUGAGUAACGCGUAGGUAACCUGCCUGGUAGCGGGGGAUAACUAUUGGAAACGAUAGCUAAUACCGCAUGACAACAGUUAUUGCAUGAUAACUGUUUAAAAGGGGCAACUGCUCCACUACCAGAUGGACCUGCGUUGUAUUAGCUAGUUGGUGAGGUAACGGCUCACCAAGGCGACGAUACAUAGCCGACCUGAGAGGGUGAUCGGCCACACUGGGACUGGGACACGGCCCAGACUCCUACGGGAGGCAGCAGUAGGGAAUCUUCGGCAAUGGACGGAAGUCUGACCGAGCAACGCCGCGUGAGUGAAGAAGGUUUUCGGAUCGUAAAGCUCGGUUGUAAGAGAAGAACGAGUGUGAGAGUGGAAAGUUCACACUGUGACGGUAGCUUACCAGAAAGGGACGGCUAACUACGUG